Centropristis striata (black sea bass) is the source of this 4029-nucleotide long non-coding RNA. RefSeq lists it as uncharacterized. The transcript is spliced from 3 exons. NCBI's taxonomy places the organism in Eukaryota, Metazoa, Chordata, Actinopteri, Perciformes, Serranidae. The record is from RefSeq and is a predicted model, not a curated record.
GUUCUGAAGGACAAGAAGAGUUUGAAUGAGAAAUGACUUUGAGGGUCUGAAGUGAACAGGACACACUCGGUGCUGCACAGCCUUACAGACCUGCACACAACUGGCCUCUCUGAAAAGCUGAUUUUAGCAGACGGAAAACUUCUCAACACAUUCAGUCCAAAGGAAACUUCCUGAAAAUGGCCUCAGAACCAAGAAAAAGAAGAAGAAGAAGAAGAAGAAGAAGAAGAAGAAGGCAGAGCAAAGAAAUCCCUUAUAAUUUUUCUUUCCUUAGAGAGUUUGACUGCAGAGAACGCAGGAUGAGAGAGAUUGUAGCAGAGUUUCAGUUGACUGCUAAGGAAGUAAGAAAGAUGCAGGAGACAACAGAAAAUGUCAGAACAGGUGGAACUAUUGCAUGGAUAGUGGCUCUCCAAGUCGGGAUCGCUUUAGUGUUGUUCUUGUCUUGGGCGUUGAGCUUUUUAGCAGCAGAUAUUGGAGCAACUGGAAUAACUCUAGCAGUAAUAACAACAACGAUAGCUGCUGCUGUCGUUCUUAGUGCAAACAAUAAAAAAAUACUGAAACAGUACGUAAGUGCAAAGAAAGUAGAAGCACUAAGGAGAGAGUUCAGUGAGAUUGUUGAACUGCUGAAGGACAGCCUGAAAGAAACAAAGACGGCGUGUAAAAAGUUGGAAAAAAACUCAGCUGAAGAUCAGGCUGAAAACACUCUUUCAGACAUUGAGGAGCUUCAGAGGAUUCUUACAAGAAUUUCUAACCGGCAAAGAAGUGAAGUUUUGGAUGUGAGAUUGAUGCUGGUGAAGAUGAUAACAGAUCACCCGUUCUUCAGAGCCACUACAACACCUGAAGGCGACAGAGGGUUAACACACACCAUCAUCCUGUCAGCUGAUUUCUGUCAGAAGGGCAUUGAUCAGUUUGUGAAGAUGAAGAAAGAACUCGGGAUAUUGUAAAUUCAGCUGUUUGGGGAUCCUCUCCUGAGAUUUAGAUGCAUCUCAUAUUUCCAAGAACUGAAUAAAGACAGACCCAAAAGAGGGUAAGGACAUACAAAAGGAUGUAAAAAUGAUAAUAGUAAAUAAUGAUAUGAAAGAGAAAGAGGACUGCUCAAAGCUUUGUUUGCACUUUUCUAAAAGUUGCAUUUUGUAUUUAUUUUGAGAAGAAACCUGGUACUUUCUUUUUCUCUUCAAUGUAGGCCUCAAGGUAAUUGUGCUAGCUAUAGGACAUAUUUUAUCAAUGGAAUAAACAACAAAAGGAAAUUUUAGUUACUGGACCCCUUUGAAUUUUAAUCGAAUAACUCUAACUAUGUUUAUCUGAAGACAUUUCUUCUUUGGAAGUUUGGAUUUUUUUUUCAUGACACAUUCUUUGCAAGUGAACCUGUUUAAAUGAUAAACUGCACUACAUGUGAUUGUUUUAUAUCGUGCUACAAGUUUUUGUCUUGUGCUACGAGAUUAACAACCUAGUAGUACCAAUGCUCUGGGCAAAGUACAUGUACAGCCCUGCCAUUUAAGAAAAUGUUUUAUCUUAUUUUAAAACACUUUUUAAAUGAUAUUUGCAUCUAAUAGCCUAUUUUUGACCUAAUUUUACCAAGUGCUUGUGUGUCAAAGCCCCAUGAAUGAAACUAAACCCCAAAACUAUGAUUGCAGAAAUUUUAAAAUAUUGCAAGAAAACUGCUGCUGUGCAAAUAAAGGCUUUACAGAACAUCAGUGUCAUAAAUAAAGGAGUGGUAUGAUCUGCACAUUCUUUUCAAAUGAGAAUUGUAUUGACCUUUCAACCAAGGCCCUUAAAUCAUAAAACACUUAAUUAAGCAAAAUAAAUCUUCCAUUACAGACUAAUUAAAACGGCUGCCCUCAAACUGAAAUCCUUGCAAUGCAUUGAAUACCAUUCAAUGUGGUUUAAAUCUAAAGUGAAUGGCUUUUUUUCAGCUCAUGAAUUGUUGUACUGUGCAAAUUCAGGUCAAAUUGUUUUGAAAUUGGCACCCUAAAUGUGUAAUGCAGACCGCAAACUUCAAAGGUAAAUGUCUAUUCUAACACUGAUUUAUUUGAAGAAGGUCCACAUGGCCCACAUAUGUCAAGAACAAACGCUCUCCAAAUGCAAAAUGACAGGACAAAUAUUUUUCUUGGUCUUUCACCCCUCGCUGUGCUCGUUUGGAGUCCCCCAAAGAGUUUUUUGGUUUUAAAGUCAGGAACAAAAAAAAGAAAAUAAGAUCAGUGAAUUAUUUCUGGGCUACAGUACCUGUGUCUGUAAAACCUGCAGCAAAAGAUCAAAUUCACCAAAAUGUUAACAUGAUAAACAAUUCUAUACACUUCAAAGGUCAUUUUUUAGGGGAUCAAGGGGAGUAUUUAGGUUGAGCCGAAUCAAAAGCUUUUCAACUUAUCUGGACAUGAUGAAGUCUGAGUAUGUGCAGCUUGUUUCAUGUUGGGCCAGGAAAUGCUUCAUUUAAAUUGGUGUAUUUGUAGCAGAGCGGGAUCAGUGUCUGAUCUUUUCAAAGUGACAAGAAGAAACAAAGCAGACCAAAGAAUACUUGGCCCUGUCAAAAAUGCCCAUGAAGAUGUAACAAUCUAAAAUUACACUUGUUACUGUCAAGAGGAACACUUGGUGCUCGUGUUUACUUCAAGUACCGAAGUGUGCAGUGGAUAAGCGGCUCGUAGCAGCUGUGGGUGACGUCCAGUGAAACGCACAGAAACUUUGCAGAUGAAAGAAGCCAUCUUCAAAGCAUUUUGGUGAACAAACCCAACAGCAUGAAUUUGAAGUGGUGAUGUGUUGAGAUGUGAGGGCUGUCAACAUAGAUUAGUAAAACAGCCAAGGAUUAAAUGCACUGUUGAGCUCUGCAAGUACAUCAUACACAAUAUCGGAGAUGCAGUAAAAUGUCACAUGAAGCAUGCAAGGCAAGAUGCACUUUAUAUUCUUAAAAAUGGGUACUCCCAAUAUCAUAAAAUGACCAUUGCUGGUAUUUAAUAAAUGUAAUGUGUAUUGAUUAUUGUGCAUUUAAAAUAGCACUUUAUAUUUACUGUGCAAUCGGGCAAUCUGCAAUAUAAUUACGCACCUAACACUUUAACACUUAAGCACUCUGCACUUUAAUCAACCCUUUGAUAUAAUAAACAUAGCGUUUAACACUAGUGAAAUACGUUUGGUCCCCUGACCCCUGACCCCUGGCCUGGAUGUUCCAUGAUCCACUAUACUUUUCAUUGUUCUUGCUUCUCUUUUUCUCUUCUGUUCUAUUGUGCUCAAGGACACGUUUUCUCUCCUCCUGCUCAUUCUGGCCAUGAAGGCCAACUGCCAACUUGUUAUCGAUGUUUUAUUGUUAUGGUUAUGGUAUUGACAUCAACCUGCCAAAGGGACUAAAGAUGGAAAUUAGCUGUUGGCUAUAAUCUUGCAUAUUUACAUGUAUAUGUUCAUUAAUAUGUAUUGUCCCUGUUUUAAGUAAAUAAACUCAAACUCAAUGAAGCAAACAGUUAGUUUCCAUUAAUAUGCGUAUUUCAGGGGUGCUUUGAGCCAGAUGCUAAUAUUGUACAGCUUUUGUCCCACAGGGACCGCCAAAGUCAACACAGAAUUCAAGUUCUCAUAGUUUCUUCUUCUUCUUGUCUUUCAACAAGGUGAAAGGUGCUAUACAAAUACAUUUGCCUUGCUUUGCCUUACACUUCAGCCUGAGAGUAGCCAUACUUGUACAAAACUUCUAUGCAAUACAUCAAAUAGUUGUCAUUUUACUAUAAAACAGUGUUUUAUAGUCUCCAACCUAAACGACAGAAUAGACAGUUUGUCAAUACCACCCGUAAGACACAUAUAAGCGUUUCGCAGUUCAGCGGAGCAUUCUAAAAAUAGCACCCAUGUACAGUUUGCAUUGAAUUUAGGCCACAAAACCACUGACCUAAGUUUAGGUAAAUAAAAACCUGGUUAGGCGUUUAAAAGGAGUUUAAAAAGCUGUACAAACAUGGUACAUGGUUUUCACAAGGUACAGGGAGGAAGAAGGGCUUUAACGAUCGGGUGUUUUCAUAAAUGAUUUAUUUAUUUGUUUAUUUAAUCUAUUUCCUUUCUUUUUUUGUA